Molecule: ribosomal RNA, 497 nt
Filed under: uncultured bacterium
Lineage: Bacteria
Description: partial 16S ribosomal RNA
Rfam family: Bacterial small subunit ribosomal RNA
Source: RNAcentral
GAUGAACGCUGGCGGCGUGCCUAAUACAUGCAAGUCGAGCGAACAGACGAGGAGCUUGCUCCUCUGACGUUAGCGGCGGACGGGUGAGUAACACGUGGAUAACCUACCUAUAAGACUGGGAUAACUUCGGGAAACCGGAGCUAAUACCGGAUAAUAUAUUGAACCGCAUGGUUCAAUAGUGAAAGACGGUUUUGCUGUCACUUAUAGAUGGAUCCGCGCCGCAUUAGCUAGUUGGUAAGGUAACGGCUUACCAAGGCGACGAUGCGUAGCCGACCUGAGAGGGUGAUCGGCCACACUGGAACUGAGACACGGUCCAGACUCCUACGGGAAGCAGCAGUAGGGAAUCUUCCGCAAUGGGCGAAAGCCUGACGGAGCAACGCCGCAUGAGUGAUGAAGGUCUUCAGAUCGUAAAACUCUGUUAUUAGGGAAGAACAAAUGUGUAAGUAACUAUGCACGUCUUGACGGUACCUAAUCAGAAAGCCACGGCUAACUACGUG